Molecule: ribosomal RNA, 459 nt
Filed under: uncultured bacterium
Lineage: Bacteria
Description: partial 16S ribosomal RNA
Rfam family: Bacterial small subunit ribosomal RNA
Source: RNAcentral
CCUACGGGCGGCAGCAGUGAGGAAUAUUGGUCAAUGGACGAGAGUCUGAACCAGCCAAGUAGCGUGAAGGAUGACUGCCCUUUGGGUUGUAAACUUCUUUUAUAAAGGAAUAAAACGAGGCACGUGUGCCUUUUUGCAUGUACUUUAUGAAUAAGGAUCGGCUAACUCCGUGCCAGCAGCCGCGGUAAUACGGAGGAUCCGAGCGUUAUCCGGAUUUAUUGGGUUUAAAGGGAGCGUAGAUGGGUUGUUAAGUCAGUUGUGAAAGUUUGCGGCUCAACCGUAAAAUUGCAAUUGAUACUGGCAGUCGUGAGUACAGUUGAGGUAGGCGGAAUUCGUGGUGUAGCGGUGAAAUGCUUAGAUAUCACGAAGAACCCCGAUUGCGAAGGCAGCUUACUAAACUGUGACUGACAUUGAUGCUCGAAAGUGUGGGUAUCAAACAGGAUUAGAUACCUAGUAGUC